RNAcentral lists this long non-coding RNA (652 nucleotides) under Numida meleagris (helmeted guineafowl). RNAcentral's name for it is "lncRNA (ENSNMEG00000002180.1)". The record is from RNAcentral. Lineage: Eukaryota; Metazoa; Chordata; Aves; Galliformes; Numididae.
GGGAACAUCUGGAUUCAGCUCUUCUCCCUCAACAUCUGUAUCGCUGUCCACCUUGAGGCUCCGAUCUCCAACCCGAGGCCCUUUCAGGUCAGGAUUUGGGGUCUCCGUCACCACAGCUGGAUCCCGCGGGGGAAUUUGGAGCAGCAGCACCCUCGGCGUCCAAAUCCCUGACACCCAGCGUCGGCUCGGGGGGGUUGGGGGCUUCCAGACCACCGAGCUCGACUGCAUUGGAAGCUCUGCCACCACCGAGGCCGGCAACAUCUGGAUCUGGGGUCUCCGUCUCCACAGCUGGAUCCCGCGGGGGAAUUUGGGGCGUUUCGUGGCUUUUCGGGUGGGGAACAUCUGGACUCAGCUCUUCUCCCUCAACGUCGGUGUCGCUGUCGACCUCCAUGCUCCGAUCUCUGCUCUGAGGCCCUUUAAGGUCAGGAUGGGGGGUCUCUGUGACCACAGCUGGAUCUUUUGGGGCAGUUUGGGGCGUUUUGUGGGUUUUCGGGUGGGGAACAUCUGGAUUCAGCUCUUCAUCCUCAACAUCUGUAUCGUUUUCCACCUCCACACUCUGAUCUCUGCUCUGAGGUCCUUUAACAUCAGGAUAUGGGGUCUCAAUCACCACAGCUGGAUCUUUUGGGGUAAUUUGGGGCGUUUUGUGGGUUUU